RNAcentral lists this ribosomal RNA (218 nucleotides) under uncultured bacterium. Its description in RNAcentral is "partial 16S ribosomal RNA". It matches the Rfam family "Bacterial small subunit ribosomal RNA", at positions 524 to 741 of the family's 1533-position model. The record is from RNAcentral.
UACGAAGGGGGCUAGCGUUGCUCGGAAUCACUGGGCGUAAAGCGCACGUAGGCGGCUUUCUAAGUCAGGGGUGAAAUCCUGGAGCUCAACUCCAGAACUGCCUUUGAUACUGGAGAGCUUGAGUCCGGAAGAGGUGAGUGGAACUCCGAGUGUAGAGGUGAAAUUCGUAGAUAUUCGGAAGAACACCAGUGGCGAAGGACGGCCUGCAUCCAGGUGCC